Molecule: ribosomal RNA, 496 nt
Filed under: uncultured bacterium
Lineage: Bacteria
Description: bacterial SSU rRNA
Rfam family: Bacterial small subunit ribosomal RNA
Source: RNAcentral
AGAGUUUGAUCAUGGCUCAGGACGAACGCUGGCGGCGUGCUUAACACAUGCAAGUCGAACGGACGAUUUCCUUCGGGAGAAAAGUUAGUGGCGGACGGGUGAGUAACGCGUGAGUAACCUGCCUUGGAGUGGGGAAUAACACAGGGAAACUUGUGCUAAUACCGCAUAACAUCGCGAUUGGGCAUCCUAUUGCGAUCAAAGAUUUAUUGCUCCAAGAUGGGCUCGCGUCCGAUUAGAUAGUUGGCGGGGUAACGGCCCACCAAGUCGACGAUCGGUAGCCGGACUGAGAGGUUGGCCGGCCACAUUGGGACUGAGAUACGGCCCAGACUCCUACGGGAGGCAGCAGUGAGGAAUAUUAGGCAAUGGGGGGAAAAACCCCUGACCUAGCGACGCCGCGUGAAGGAUGAAGGUUUUCGGAUUGUAAACUUCUUUUAUGAGGGACGAUAAUGACGGUACCUCAUGAAUAAGCCACGGCUAACUACGUGCCAGCCGCCGC